GGAAAGUGACCGUAUGGCAAAAUUAACUAUUUGAACGUUGACACUAAUCUGUCAUUUUAUUUUGACCUAGAGCUGGAAACAUACUACCUACUUGGGUUGAAAUUAAUAAUUUAAUUCAAAUAUUUUGUACAUUUAAUCCCAAGAUAUAACAUACUUUUUCUAUAUCUUUUUGUAUCUCUUCAAAUAUUUGAAUCCCCGGCAUACACUUAUUUCUGUCAUCUACUCCAGAGGUCAUCAACCCUCGGUCUGUGGCCUGGUGCUGGUCCGUGGCCCGAGCCAGACUGGGCCACGGAGACAGACAUCCCCCCCUGCACGCACUCCCCUCCUCACAGCUGCUUUGUGCACGCGUGCGUGUGCCAACGCUGGCGUGAGCACUCCUCCACCCCUUCAAACAUGCGCCCGAGUACCCGCGUGAAGGGGUGGGUGGGCGCAGGUGGGCGUGCAGGCGCCCCUGCGCUUGCACGAAAGGGUGGAGGAGCACUCACGCCAGCGCUAGCAGGAAGGUGGGCGCUCCCCCACCGCUUCGCGCAUGUGCCUGAGAGCGCACACACACCCACACGCACCUGCAGCGGGGGCACUUUCCUGGGAGGCUCAACUGGUUGGCGGUCCCAAAAAGGUUGGGGACCGGUGAUCUAGUCGAUUUAUAAUUUCACAUCAAAUUUGUCUGACAGAACUGUGAACUAAUGAACUGUACCUGAUC
Non-coding RNA from Pogona vitticeps (central bearded dragon), 700 nucleotides. The record is from RefSeq and is a predicted model, not a curated record. Lineage: Eukaryota; Metazoa; Chordata; Lepidosauria; Squamata; Agamidae.